RNAcentral lists this ribosomal RNA (273 nucleotides) under uncultured Parvimonas sp. RNAcentral describes it as "partial 16S ribosomal RNA". It matches the Rfam family "Bacterial small subunit ribosomal RNA", at positions 82 to 354 of the family's 1533-position model. Lineage: Bacteria; Bacillati; Bacillota; Tissierellia; Tissierellales; Peptoniphilaceae. The record is from RNAcentral.
AGAUUUAACGAAAGUGGCGAACGGGUGAGUAACACGUGAGCAACCUGCCUUACACAGGGGAUAGCCAUUGGAAACGGUGAUUAAUACCCCAUAAGACCACAAUACCGCAUGGUAAAAGGGUAAAAGGGAUACCGGUGUAAGAUGGGCUCGCGUCUGAUUAGCUAGUUGGUGGGGUAAAGGCCUACCAAGGCGACGAUCAGUAGCCGGUCUGAGAGGAUGAACGGCCACAUUGGAACUGAGACACGGUCCAAACUCCUACGGGAGGCAGCAGGU